Molecule: ribosomal RNA, 161 nt
Filed under: uncultured bacterium
Lineage: Bacteria
Description: partial 16S ribosomal RNA
Rfam family: Bacterial small subunit ribosomal RNA
Source: RNAcentral
UGGGGAAUAUUGGACAAUGGGCGCAAGCCUGAUCCAGCCAUACCGCGUGGGUGAAGAAGGCCUUCGGGUUGUAAAGCCCUUUUGUUGGGAAAGAAAAGCAGUCGAUUAAUACUCGGUUGUUCUGACGGUACCCAAAGAAUAAGCACCGGCUAACUCCGUGC